Molecule: unclassified non-coding RNA, 357 nt
Filed under: soil metagenome
Description: partial contains 5.8S ribosomal RNA, internal transcribed spacer 2, and large subunit ribosomal RNA
Rfam family: 5.8S ribosomal RNA (bases 2-119)
Source: RNAcentral
GUGAAGAACGCAGCGAAAUGCGAUAAGUAAUGUGAAUUGCAGAAUUCAGUGAAUCAUCGAAUCUUUGAACGCACAUUGCGCCCGUCAGUAUUCUGGCGGGCAUGCCUGUUCGAGCGUCAUUACGCCCCUCAAGUCCCCUGUGGACUUGGUGUUGGGGAUCGGCGAGGCUGGUUUUCCAGCACAGCCGUCCCUUAAAUUAAUUGGCGGUCUCGCCGUGGCCCUCCUCUGCGCAGUAGUAAAACACUCGCAACAGGAGCCCGGCGCGGUCCACUGCCGUAAAACCCCCCAACUUUUUAUAGUUGACCUCGAAUCAGGUAGGACUACCCGCUGAACUUAAGCAUAUCAAUAAGCGGAGGA